GACAAGGGGCAGAGGCAGAGAGAGAGAGAGGAGCCACCCUGAGAAGGAAGAGACCAGGUGGGCUCUGAGACAGGGAGACCCUUUCUACGUCGGUGCCUUGACAUGUGACUUUUUUGUCACUUCGUGCUCCAGGAUCACACCUGGAUGAACUAUCACUUUCAAAUGACCUUGUCUUUUCUCGGGCCUUCUGAACUGAUCAUCUCUUCCUUCUGAUACAAGAGGAUCUUCCCUGGAAGACCACUGCACACCUUCUAGUAACACUGCGACCCUGGAUAAUAUUCUACUUUGAAGAACACCAGUAGACCGAAGCAAGAUGACUAAUUUUUAAUGCCAAAGUAUGCAAAACCUGCCACUUCACUGGCAAGCCAUGAAUUAUUCAUAAAUAUAGACUUGGUUAAUAUCUUUAAAAA
RNAcentral lists this long non-coding RNA (410 nucleotides) under Homo sapiens (human). Its description in RNAcentral is "non-protein coding lnc-DHX37-9:9". Lineage: Eukaryota; Metazoa; Chordata; Mammalia; Primates; Hominidae. The record is from RNAcentral.